ACGGGACCGCACAAGCGUGGAUGAUGUGGUUUAAUUCGAUGCAACGCGAAAACCUUACCCACCUUUGACAUGUACGGAAGCCUUUAGAGAUAGAGGCGUGCUCGAAAGAGAGCCGUAACACAGGUGCUGCAUGGCUGUCGUCAGCUCGUGUCGUGAGAUGUUGGGUUAAGUCCCGCAACGAGCGCAACCCUUGUCAUUAGUUGCUACAUUCAGUUGGGCACUCUAGCGAGACUGCCGGUAAUAAACCGGAGGAAGUGGGAUGACGUCAAAUCAUCAUGCCCCUUAUGACCUGGGCUACACACGUGCUACAAUGGUUGGUACAACGAGUUGCGAGUCGGUGACGGCGAGCUAAUCUCUUAAAGCCAAUCUCAGUUCGGAUUGUAGGCUGCAACUCGCCUACAUGAAGUCGGAAUCGCUAGUAAUCGCGGAUCAGCACGCCGCGGUGAAUACGUUCCCGGGCCUU
This 463-nucleotide ribosomal RNA is filed under the name uncultured Streptococcus sp. RNAcentral's name for it is "bacterial SSU rRNA". It matches the Rfam family "Bacterial small subunit ribosomal RNA", at positions 917 to 1381 of the family's 1533-position model. The record is from RNAcentral. Lineage: Bacteria; Bacillati; Bacillota; Bacilli; Lactobacillales; Streptococcaceae.